CCUACGGGUGGCAGCAGUGAGGAAUAGUGGUCAAUGGGCGAGAGCCUGAACCAGCCAAGUCGCGUGAAGGAUGACGGCCCUACGGGUUGUAAACUUCUGUUGUCAGGGAGCAAUUGAGUCCACGUGUGGGCUUAGCGAGAGUACCUGAAGAAAAAGCAGCGGCCAACUCCGUGCCAGCAGCCGCGGUAAUACGGAGGAUGCGAGCGUUAUCCGGAUUUAUUGGGUUUACAGGGUGCGUAGGCGGAAUAUCAAGUCAGCGGUAAAAAUUCGGGGCUCAACCCCGUCGUGCCGUUGAAACUGCUGUUCUUGAGUGGGCGCGACGUAUGCUGACUGCGUGUUGUAGCGGUGCACUGCAUAGAUCUCACGCAGAACUCCGAUUGCGACGGCAGCAUACCGGCGCCCAACUGACGCUGACGCACGAACGCGUGGGUAUCGAACAGGAUUAGAUACCCUGGUAGUC
RNAcentral lists this ribosomal RNA (460 nucleotides) under uncultured bacterium. Its description in RNAcentral is "partial 16S ribosomal RNA". It matches the Rfam family "Bacterial small subunit ribosomal RNA", at positions 338 to 795 of the family's 1533-position model. The record is from RNAcentral.